UGUGUAAUCAGUUGCUCUGUGCCUUCCAGUGGUGCAAGAAAAAAAUCAGCAUGACAAUCAAAUUCAAGUGUACUUAUUUUUUCAUUCUCAAAUGGCUGUUCUUUUGCUGCAUAAGUGUGGUCAGAGUGUUCAUCUAACAAGAGUUCUCCUUUGUCUUCUUCUGAUGUAAUAGAAAUUUCCUCAGAACGUACAAACUCGACCAGAGAUGUGUCAUAAUAGACCACUUUCGAGUUCAUCCGUCACCGGCAAAAACUCGUCAAUUAUACACGCCUUUAUGACGUCAUUUACCAGAUAGAGGGGCUCGCCUGUAUCCCUGCACUAUUUACGUUCAUCAAGCGUCUUAGUUAUCGUCUUUGUGCAGGAUAAACUAGAAAUAAUGGUUGCUCUGUAGGUACUUACUGACAUUUCCCUAAUGACAGCAGUGUUGAUUGUCAAUUUUGAGAAUUCAAUUUGCCGAAUAAUUCGUACAAUAUAGAAUUAUAGUUUUCCAACCACUCGCUCAACAUUGGAAGGAAGUGACGACGCCCCUAAACGCACAAAUGACGAUGAUAAAGGCGCGUAUAAUUGACGAGUUUUUUCCGGUGACGGAUGAACUCGAAAG
RNAcentral lists this long non-coding RNA (601 nucleotides) under Mytilus galloprovincialis (Mediterranean mussel). The record is from RNAcentral. Lineage: Eukaryota; Metazoa; Mollusca; Bivalvia; Mytilida; Mytilidae.